AUUGAACGCUGGCGGCAGGCCUAACACAUGCAAGUCGAGCGGAUGAAGGGAGCUUGCUCGUGGAUUCAGCGGCGGACGGGUGAGUAAUGCCUAGGAAUCUGCCUGGUAGUGGGGGAUAACGUCCGGAAACGGGCGCUAAUACCGCAUUCGUCCUGAGGGAGAAAGUGGGGGAUCUUCGGACCUUCCGCUAUCAGAUGAGCCUAGGUCGGAUUAGCUAGUUGGUGGGGUAAAGGCCUACCAAGGCGACGAUCCGUAACUGGUCUGAGAGGAUGAUCAGUCACACUGGAACUGAGACACGGUCCAGACUCCUACGGGAGGCAGCAGUGGGGAAUAUUGGACAAUGGGCGCAAGCCUGAUCCAGCCAUGCCGCGUGUGUGAAGAAGGUCUUCGGAUUGUAAAGCACUUUAAGUUGGGAGGAAGGGCAGUAAGUUAAUACCUUGCUGUUUUGACGUUACCAACAGAAUAAGCACCGGCUAACUUCGUG
Molecule: ribosomal RNA, 484 nt
Filed under: uncultured bacterium
Lineage: Bacteria
Description: partial 16S ribosomal RNA
Rfam family: Bacterial small subunit ribosomal RNA
Source: RNAcentral